UACGGGGGGGGCAAGCGUUGUUCGGAAUUACUGGGCGUAAAGGGCGCGUAGGCGGCCUUCUAAGUCGGACGUGAAAUCCCUCGGCUUAACCGAGGAACUGCGUCCGAUACUGAAAGGCUUGAAUCCGGGAGAGGGAUGUGGAAUUCCAGGUGUAGCGGUGAAAUGCGUAGAUAUCAGGAGGAACACCGGUGGCGAAGGCGGAUCUCUGGGCCUUACCUGACGCUGAGGCGCGAAAGCUAGGGGAGCAAACGGG
Molecule: ribosomal RNA, 253 nt
Filed under: uncultured bacterium
Lineage: Bacteria
Description: partial 16S ribosomal RNA
Rfam family: Bacterial small subunit ribosomal RNA
Source: RNAcentral